GCAAGUCGAACGGCAGCAUGACACUUCGGUGUUGAUGGCGAGUGGCGCACGGGUGAGUAACGCGUACACAAUCUACCUAUAAGAGGGGGAUAGCCACUGGAAACGGUGAAUAAUACCCCAUAGUAUUACUUUUAUGAUAUAUGAGUAAUUAAAGUUCCGGCGCUUAUAGAUGAGUGUGCGUCCGAUUAGCUAGUUGGUAAGGUAACGGCUUACCAAGGCGACGAUUGGUAGGGGGCGUGAGAGCGUGACC
This 250-nucleotide ribosomal RNA is filed under the name uncultured bacterium. RNAcentral's name for it is "partial 16S ribosomal RNA". It matches the Rfam family "Bacterial small subunit ribosomal RNA", at positions 57 to 305 of the family's 1533-position model. The record is from RNAcentral.